CGCAACCCUCAUUGUUAGUUACUACCAUUCAGUUGAGGACUCUAAUGAGACUGCCAACGACAAGUUGGAGGAAGGUGGGGAUGACGUCAAAUCAUCAUGCCCUUUAUGACCUGGGCUACAAACGUACUACAAUGGUCGGUACAGAGGGUUGCCAAGCCGCGAGGUGGAGCCAAUCCCUUAAAGCCGAUCGUAGUCCGGAUCGUAGUCUGCAACUCGACUACGUGAAGUCGGAAUCGCUAGUAAUCGCAGAUCAGCAUGCUGCGGUGAAUACGUUCCCGGGUCUU
Molecule: ribosomal RNA, 284 nt
Filed under: uncultured Oscillospiraceae bacterium
Lineage: Bacteria; Bacillati; Bacillota; Clostridia; Eubacteriales; Oscillospiraceae
Description: partial 16S ribosomal RNA
Rfam family: Bacterial small subunit ribosomal RNA
Source: RNAcentral